RNAcentral lists this ribosomal RNA (445 nucleotides) under uncultured bacterium. RNAcentral describes it as "bacterial SSU rRNA". It matches the Rfam family "Bacterial small subunit ribosomal RNA", at positions 330 to 792 of the family's 1533-position model. The record is from RNAcentral.
UCCAGACUCCUACGGGAGGCAGCAGUGGGGGAUAUUGCACAAUGGGGGCAACCCUGAUGCAGCGACGCCGCGUGAGCGAUGGAGUACUUCGGUAUGUAAAGCUCUGUCAGCAGGGAAGAGAAUGACGGUACCUGACCAAGAAGCCCCGGCUAAAUACGUGCCAGCAGCCGCGGUAAUACGUAUGGGGCAAGCGUUAUCCGGAUUUACUGGGUGUAAAGGGAGCGUAGACGGCAGCACAAGUCUGAAGUGAAAUGCCGGGGCUUAACCCCGGAACUGCUUUGGAAACUGUGCAGCUAGAGUGCAGGAGAGGUAAGUGGAAUUCCUAGUGUAGCGGUGAAAUGCGUAGAUAUUAGGAGGAACACCAGUGGCGAAGGCGGCUUACUGGGCUUUAACUGACGCUGAGGCACGAAAGCGUGGGUAGCAAACAGGAUUAGAUACCCUCGUA